Molecule: ribosomal RNA, 210 nt
Filed under: uncultured bacterium
Lineage: Bacteria
Description: partial 16S ribosomal RNA
Rfam family: Bacterial small subunit ribosomal RNA
Source: RNAcentral
CAGUUCGGACUGAAGGCUGAAAUUGCCUUCACGAAGUCGGAAUUGCUAGUAAUGGCAGGUCAGCAUACUGCCGUGAAUACGUUCCCGGGCCUUGUACACACCGCCCGUCACACCAUGAGAGUUAGGAAUACCCGAAGCCUGUGAGCUAACUUUUAGAGGCAGCAGUCGAAGGUAGAACUAAUGAUUGGGGUGAAGUCGUAACAAGGUAAC